AGGGGAUUAGUGGCGAACGGGUGAGUAACACGUGGGCAAUCUGCCCUGCACUCUGGGACAAGCCCUGGAAACGGGGUCUAAUACCGGAUACAACCACUGGGGGCAUCCUCUGGUGGUGGAAAGCUCCGGCGGUGCAGGAUGAGCCCGCGGCCUAUCAGCUAGUUGGUGAGGUAACGGCUCACCAAGGCGACGACGGGUAGCCGGCCUGAGAGGGCGACCGGCCACACUGGGACUGAGACACGGCCCAGACUCCUACGGGAGGCAGCAGUGGGGAAUAUUGCACAAUGGGCGAAAGCCUGAUGCAGCGACGCCGCGUGAGGGAUGACGGCCUUCGGGUUGUAAACCUCUUUCAGCAGGGAAGAAGCGAAAGUGACGGUACCUGCAGAAGAAGCGCCGGCUAACUACGUGCCAGCAGCCGCGGUAAUACGUAGGGCGCAAGCGUUGUCCGGAAUUAUUGGGCGUAAAGAGCUCGUAGGCGGCUUGUCACGUCGGUUGUGAAAGCCCGGGGCUUAACCCCGGGUCUGCAGUCGAUACGGGCAGGCUAGAGUUCGGUAGGGGAGAUCGGAAUUCCUGGUGUAGCGGUGAAAUGCGCAGAGAUCAGGAGGAACACCGGUGGCGAAGGCGGAUCUCUGGGCCGAUACUGACGCUGAG
This 651-nucleotide ribosomal RNA is filed under the name Streptomyces sp. 301. RNAcentral describes it as "bacterial SSU rRNA". It matches the Rfam family "Bacterial small subunit ribosomal RNA", at positions 86 to 750 of the family's 1533-position model. Lineage: Bacteria; Bacillati; Actinomycetota; Actinomycetes; Kitasatosporales; Streptomycetaceae. The record is from RNAcentral.